GAGGUCGCAGCACGCCGCUACCUGCAAGCCCGAAAGCUGAAUGCAGCUCUAGUGUGGCGCGUAGUCUUACUGGGUACUAUUUUACUUAAUCGCUGACGUUGAGUGAGAGGUGACCAAGCUCAGAUGCUGAGAUUAAGGCGGCCGGGCGAAACUCGCGACACCCUGCGAUUCCCUCUUAGCCAGCUGCGUAAAGUUGCCUACGCCAAGCGGGUAGCGUCCUGCUCGGCCACCUGGCGGCGGGCGUGGAGUUGGCAGGCAGGCAGUGGGGGUCACGCCGGCAUGAAAGGCCAGAUCACCUGCAGGUCGCCAAGUUGCCGGGAAUCCCCCGCUCCGAGCAGUGUCAUGCCCAUCACAAAUAACCCUAUCGCAGCCGGGAGGAAGGCUCCCCUGUUCCUUUUUGCUGACGUGUCAUUUCUAAGUACUUUCUCCUACUCCAUAAAGACUUCAA
RNAcentral lists this long non-coding RNA (448 nucleotides) under Homo sapiens (human). RNAcentral's name for it is "non-protein coding lnc-HIST4H4-5:2". Lineage: Eukaryota; Metazoa; Chordata; Mammalia; Primates; Hominidae. The record is from RNAcentral.